Molecule: long non-coding RNA, 577 nt
Filed under: Homo sapiens (human)
Lineage: Eukaryota; Metazoa; Chordata; Mammalia; Primates; Hominidae
Description: non-protein coding lnc-PDC-2:1
Source: RNAcentral
AAUUGUCAUACGACUUGCAGUGAGCGUCAGGAGCACGUCCAGGAACUCCUCAGCAGCGCCUCCUUCAGCUCCACAGCCAGACGCCCUCAGACAGCAAAGCCUACCCCCGCGCCGCGCCCUGCCCGCCGCUGCGAUGCUCGCCCGCGCCCUGCUGCUGUGCGCGGUCCUGGCGCUCAGCCAUACAGCAAAUCCUUGCUGUUCCCACCCAUGUCAAAACCGAGGUGUAUGUAUGAGUGUGGGAUUUGACCAGUAUAAGUGCGAUUGUACCCGGACAGGAUUCUAUGGAGAAAACUGCUCAACACCGGAAUUUUUGACAAGAAUAAAAUUAUUUCUGAAACCCACUCCAAACACAGUGCACUACAUACUUACCCACUUCAAGGGAUUUUGGAACGUUGUGAAUAACAUUCCCUUCCUUCGAAAUGCAAUUAUGAGUUAUGUGUUGACAUAUCACAUUUGAUUGACAGUCCACCAACUUACAAUGCUGACUAUGGCUACAAAAGCUGGGAAGCCUUCUCUAACCUCUCCUAUUAUACUAGAGCCCUUCCUCCUGUGCCUGAUGAUUGCCCGACUCCCUUGG